This 495-nucleotide ribosomal RNA is filed under the name uncultured bacterium. RNAcentral describes it as "partial 16S ribosomal RNA". It matches the Rfam family "Bacterial small subunit ribosomal RNA", at positions 28 to 507 of the family's 1533-position model. The record is from RNAcentral.
GAUGAACGCUGGCGGCGUGCCUAAUACAUGCAAGUAGAACGCUGAAGGAGGAGCUUGCUCUUCUGGAUGAGUUGCGAACGGGUGAGUAACGCGUAGGUAACCUGCCUGGUAGCGGGGGAUAACUAUUGGAAACGAUAGCUAAUACCGCAUGACAACAGUUAUUGCAUGAUAACUGUUUAAAAGGGGCAACUGCUCCACUACCAGAUGGACCUGCGUUGUAUUAGCUAGUUGGUGAGGUAACGGCUCACCAAGGCGACGAUACAUAGCCGACCUGAGAGGGUGAUCGGCCACACUGGGACUGAGACACGGCCCAGACUCCUACGGGAGGCAGCAGUAGGGAAUCUUCGGCAAUGGACGGAGGUCUGACCGAGCAACGCCGCGUGAGUGGAGAAGGUUUUCGGAUCGUAAAGCUCUGUUGUAAGAGAAGAACGAGUGUGAGAGUGGAAAGUUCACACUGUGACGGUAUCUUACCAGAAAGGGACGGCUAACUACGUG